This 475-nucleotide ribosomal RNA is filed under the name uncultured Methanosaeta sp. RNAcentral describes it as "bacterial SSU rRNA". It matches the Rfam family "Archaeal small subunit ribosomal RNA", at positions 862 to 1338 of the family's 1478-position model. Lineage: Archaea; Methanobacteriati; Methanobacteriota; Methanomicrobia; Methanotrichales; Methanotrichaceae. The record is from RNAcentral.
UGAAUUGACGGGGAGCACCACAACGGGUGGAGCUUGCGGUUUAAUUGGAUUCAACGCCGGAAAUCUUACCGGGACCGACAGCAAUAUGAAGGCCAGGCUGAAGACUUUGCCGGAUUAGCUGAGAGGUGGUGCAUGGCCGUCGUCAGUUCGUACUGUGAAGCAUCCUGUUAAGUCAGGCAACGAGCGAGACCCACGCCCACAGUUGCCAGCGUACUCUCUGGAGUGACGGGUACACUGUGGGACCGCCGCUGCUAAAGCGGAGGAAGGAAUGGGCAACGGUAGGUCAGUAUGCCCCGAAUAUCCCGGGCUACACGCGAGCUACAAUGGUUGGUACAAUGGGUAUCUACCCCGAAAGGGGACGGGAAUCUCCUAAACCAAUCUUAGUUCGGAUUGAGGGCUGCAACUCGCCCUCAUGAAGCUGGAAUCCGUAGUAAUCGCGUUUCAACAGAACGCGGUGAAUACGUCCCUGCUCCUU